Helianthus annuus (common sunflower) is the source of this 8010-nucleotide long non-coding RNA. RefSeq lists it as uncharacterized. The record is from RefSeq and is a predicted model, not a curated record. Lineage: Eukaryota; Viridiplantae; Streptophyta; Magnoliopsida; Asterales; Asteraceae. The transcript has 10 exons.
CUUACAAGAGACAGAAAGACAUCCGAAAAUCCACCGCCGCCGCUCAACCUCUGCUCCACCGCUUCUCCUCCAGCCGACGUCAUCCUCAUCGCCAGUAUACUAUAAGUUUUAGCUUUUGAUCUUCAAGAAGGGGUAUUUGUUGGAUAAAAUUGUAUAUCUGGUCAUCUCUAGAAAUUAUGAACAAAAAAGGCAAGAAACCGGAAUCCAAGUUUCAAUCUGUUCGGAAUCUGCUUCGUGAGCGUUGGGAGCUAGCGUCUAUUCUCAAUUUUUUGCAGAUUACCUUGAAAACAAAGAGGGUAAACAGUCAAGAACUGCCUAAAGCGAACAUCAUAUGGCCUAUUAUCGGACACCUACACCUUCUAGGUGGAUCAAAACUCCCACAUCAUGUUUAUAUACAUUGUGUAGUUGUAUAAGCAUCAACAAGAGCUCCAGUUUUGAAGUGAGAGACAUUAAAAUCAAGGUGAUGGUUCUGUUUUGAGAUUUUAAUUUUACUUGGUUAUAUUAAAUAGCGUAUGUAUCUUGCUAAUUUGAGAUGUCGCCUCCUUCCCCACCGACUAGCAACCUCCGACGGCCAUUGCUGCACUAGGGAGCCUCGCUGGAAAACCGGGUUUCCGGUUUUUGGUUAUUCCGAUCACCGCCGAUAACACCUAUUACCCUAUUCAUAAGUAUUCACCGGUUCCUUUUUUCCUAAGUUUUCCUUCUGGUCGAUCGGUUGUAUGUGGUUUUUUCUUAUUGUGGGCGGAAGGUGCUAUCAGUGGGCGUGUCUAGACUCUAGAGGUUCUUUCUAAGACUCGACGUUGAUGAUAGAAAAGAGGGAGAAUCCAUUGAAGAAGCCUACAAGGGCAAAUAUGCUUGUCAGCAUUCGUUGACCCUAGCAGGGCUUAGAGUUGAGGUUCGUUGACUACAAUGAUGAUGUCAGUUGAUUUAGGCAACAUGCAACAAUAUAUUUGAACUUUGGCAGCAGCGCCUGGUCUGGUGGGCGCCGACCAUCAGGUUUGUUGGCAUGGUAGUGAUGAUCAUCGGCAAAUUUAAGGUAUUUCAUGGUUGUGCUGCUAAUCGGUCGCUAAAAUAAAAGAGUUUUCUAAACUUGCCGCAACAAUCGGUGAUCGUGGGUGUUAACGAAACAUGAAGGGUGUAUUGGGUUAAACUAUCGGUGAUCGUGGUGGAAUUCGCAGCGCAUCGCGCGCGGCACUAUAUCUAGUUUAAUAUAUUUUUAAAACAAAUACAUCUCUUUCCUACUUAUCUUAUAUUAAAUAUAUAAAUAGUAAAUUAAUAUUAAAUGUUAUCCUAAUUUAUUAAAAAUAUAACUUCUUUAUUAUUAGGUAUGUAAAAUUAUAUUUAUUCAACUCGUGUAAAAUGCGAGGUUUUUAAAAAUUUAACUUUUAUUAUUUACUAUACAAAGUUACAUUUAUAUAACCCGUGUAAUACACGAAGUUUUUAAAGAUAUAACUUUUUUUAUCAUUUGCUUUGCUAUGUAAAAUUAGAUUUAUUCAACACGUGUAAUACACGGGAUUUUUAAGGAUAUAAUUUUUUUUUAUUAUUUGGUAAUUUUUUCAACCCGACUAUACACGGGUUUUCUAAAGAUACGACGUUUUUAGUAGUUAAUAUACAAAAUUACAUUUAUUUAAUCUGUGUAAUACACAUGGUUUUUAAAGAUAUAACUAUUUUUUAGAUCUAUUCAACACGUGUAAUAUACGGGGUUUUUAAGGAUGUAACUUUUUUUAUUAUUUGAUAGAUUUAUUCAACCCGAUUAUACACCGGUUUUUUAAAGAUACGACAUUUUUAGUAUUUAGUAUACAAAAUUACAUUUAUUUAAUCUGUGUAAUACACAUGGUUUUUAAAGAUAUAACUUUUUUUAUUAUUUGAUAUAUAAAAUUACAUUUAUUUAACCCGUACAAUAUGCGAGUUUCAUAAAGAUAUAACUUUUUAUUAUUUAAUAUAUAAAAUUACGUUUAUUUAACCCGUGUAAUACACGGGGUUCUAACCUAGUGUAAUUUUAUAUACCAAAUCAUAAAACAAUAUAUCUUUAAAAAUCUCGUUUAUUACAUACAUUGAAUAAAUAUAAUUUUAUAUAUUAAAUAAUAAAAGAAUUAUAUCUUUAAGAACCUCGCGUAUUGUACGGGUUGAGUAAAUUUAAUUUUAUAUAUUAAAUAACGAAAAAAAAGUUACAUUUUUAAGAACCUCAUGUAUUGUAUAGGUUGAACACGUGUAAUUUUAUAUACCAGUCAAUAAAAAGUUAUAUCUUGUUAUAUCUUUAUAAAACCUGUGUAUUAUACGGAAUGAAUAAAUCUAAUUUUAUAUACCACACAAUAAAAAAAAGUUAUAUUUUAAAAAAGCCGGUGUAUUACACGAGUUGCAUAAAUGUAAUUUUGUAUAGUAAAUAAUAAAGAUAUUAUAUCUUUAAAAAACCUCGUUUAUUACACGGGUUGAAUGAAUCUAAAAAAUUAUAUCUUUAAAAAAAAUUAACGGAUAUACUCGAUAUAUGAUGGAUGGGAAGAUUGCGGUGAUGAUUCUUAUAAAUGUCACGUAAACAUACUGAAUACCGUAUUUGAGUUGAGAGUUGAACACGAAAAUAAAAGUAUACAACCAAUGAACAUUGAUUAAUGUUUUUGUUUACCCCUUAUAAACAUUUAUGAAAUAUGUUCUACCCUAAACUACUUUAGUUUAAUAAAAUAAAUAAAUUAUUUACAUUAUGUUAAUUUAUAUUUAGUAUACGUCUUUUGUUAAUUUCAGGAUAAAUAAUUUUGAAAUCUAAUAAAUAUUUCAAAAUAUUAUAUUAUCUCCUAUACGAAUUGUUUAAAUUUAUAUUAAAUUUAAUUUUAUAUUUAUCUUUUAAUUAAUACUAAUUAUCUAUAAUUAAGUAGGAUAGAGAGGAAAAACCUAAAAAAUAGAUGGCUUCAAUGAAUGACAUGUGUGCUUUUAUUGGUUUCUUUUAUUAUAUAGUAUAGAAGAUUAGGUUAGAACCCCGUGUAAUACACGGGUUGAAUAAUUAUAAUUUUAUAUACCAAAUAAUAAAACAAUAUAUCUUUAAAAAUCUCGUUUAUUACAUGGGUUGAAUAAAUGUAAUUUUAUAUAUUAAAUAAUAAAAAUUAUAUCUUUAAAAAAACUAACGGAUAUACUCGAUAUAUGAUGGAUGAGGUGAUUGCGGUGAUUGUUCUUAUAAAUGUCACGUAAACAUAGUGAAUACCGUAUUUGAGUUGAGAGUUGCACAUGAAAAUAAAAGUAUAGAACCAAUAAACAUUUAUUAAUAUUUUUGUUUAUUCCUUAUAAACAUUUUUGAAAUAGGUUCUACCCUACUUUAGUUUAUAAAAUAAAUAAUCAUUUACAUUAUAUUAGUUUAUAUUUAGUGUAGGUCUUUUGUUAGUUUCAGAAUAAAUAAUUUUGAAAUGUAAUAAAUAUUUCAAAAUAUUAUAUUAUCUCCUAUACGAAUUGUUUAAAUUUAUAUUAAAUUUAGUUUUAUAAUUAUCUUUUAAUUAAUAUUAAUUAUUUAUAAUUUAGUAGGAUAAAGAGGAAAAAACUAAAAAAUAGAUUACUCCAAUGAAUGACAGGUAUCCCCUCGUUGGUUUCUUUAUAAAUACAAAUUAUUAUUUUAAUUUGUGCCUUAACUGUUUUAACUAAACUAAUAAGAGAGUAAUUUCAAAACUAUAAGCAUAAAUUUCUGAACAAUAGAUGAUUAUAUCGCAAAAGUACUAACCUAAUAUAGCUCUUGAUCGCAGAUUAGGGUUUAGGAAUUGAAAAUUGAGUUUAAAACAAAUAAUAAUUUAAGUAGAAACUGAUCGUGAUCAUAUAUUGAUCGUGAAAUUUGUUCAAAAUUCAAGAAAAAAAGGAAAAGAUGAUGUUAAUUUGAAUGAUGAAAUGGGUUUACCGAUGACGAAGAGGAUGAUUACGGAAAGCAACGGUUGUUUAGGUGUUUGAAGUAUCGGCAAAUUAUUCAUGAAAGAUGUGGAGUGCAUCCAUGGGAACUGAAUUUUAUAUAUCACGGAUAUAUUUUGUUCUUGAUCGGUUAUAAAUACUAAAUACUCAUUGGUGGAGGAGGUGGAGAAAUUACGGUUUUGGAUAAUAAGUCUUGUUUUGAAUGAGAUGUGGGUCAUGGAUCUAUACCGUAUGACCCGGUUUCAUAACCCAGUGCCCAUUUAAUUAAAGGAGCUCUCAUUGAGUGACACGUGUCCCAAAGUUGGUUUCUUUUAUUAUAGUAGAUAGAUGAAUAAAUUUGGGCUGAUGUGGUACGAUAUUAGAGGGAAUGCUUUUUGGCGGGAAAAUGAGAUGGAUGUUUACAUUGCUCGCGGAUCCCUUCUUUGAGCAACCCGACCCAAUGAUUCGGACCCUAUAUAUUUAUGUAUUUGAGGACUCUGUUCUUUCUUUCAUCAUUAGCCUCACUGUCUCCGUUCCAAACCCUAAUCUUUAUCCAUUCCAAACCCUUUUCAAUCGUUCAUUCACCUAUUAAUCUCAAACCCUCAACUAUAUCUUUUCACAAUUGCAAAACAUUGCCUCUGCAAUCGUUAACUGCAAUCACAUUGGCGAAUGAUCUGUGGUUAAGAAUUGAAGACAAACGAUCCGAUUGAAGUCUACAUGUUGCGGCUUAUGCUUCUCUCCAAGAGAUCAAUUAGGUUUUUUACAAAGCGGUCAAGUAUAUGAUGGUGCUCAUGCUACCAGGCCUGAACACUUUCUGAAGCACAGUUACAACAGAUGUAGCCAUGUAGGCAUUCCUGGUUUUGUUCUAAACAGAUGCUAAUGGGAGGAGGUGGAUAUUUUUCAGCUGAUGGUUUUGGAAAAUGAAUAUACUCACGCCGUUGUAUGUUUUUUUACACACGUAGCUUCUUCGUACUACAAUUAUCAACAGUAGCUAAUCGCAUGUUUGUAAAAUGUUUUAACAUGCCUUGCUUGAACAUUCAGUGCCUUUGUUUUGCUUUCACGUUAAUAAAACAAGAUUUAAUUAUUUUUUGUGAGCGGAUCAUAAGAUUCUUGAACGAGUACCCCGAAGUUCAACCGUUUUCAUCAUUCGGCUUAAUCUAUAACUGGACUGCCUUAUUUAGAAUCCUUGAUACCAUAAGGUGGAUAGGAUUGCGGUGAUACUUUGCUCUCUACAGGCUCUUUGAAGGCUUUGUUUUCGAUGUAGUUGCGGGCAUUGAACAUGAGUGUUUUGAUUAGAAAACAUGAUAAUGAUUUUGUUAAAAUGUAGUAUUUUAUCAUUCCAUCCAGAGUUCUAGGAAUGUCUAACUUGUAUGUCAAGCCUACUUUGCAUGUUAAGCCUUCUUUGAUGUGGCAGGCAGGUAUCAUCAAGGCCUUAAGAAAUGGGUUUAAGUAGGAAAUUUUGCAGUUGUUGAGAAGUGCUACAAUCAUGAAGCCAAAAUUGAUUGUUAUUGGUACAAUUGCUUAUGCUUGAUUAUAUGUCUAUGCCAGAAUUUUUCAAUCAUCUCUACAAACUUUUGCAUAUGGAAAUGUAAUGCUUGUAGCUGCUUGUGAUCAUGAGAAGGUAUCUUUCAGUCCUGAUCUGAUUUGGUUAGGCUAUGUAAUGAUUUUGUGAUUUUGAUCUUAACUUUAAAAUUACCUAUAGUAUCUAUUAGAGAUUAGGCCUAUUGAUAUUUCUCUUUUAAGGCAUGUUAACCAGGCUAUGAUGAGCUUAUCAAUGCUUCAAAGGGUUCUAUAAACAGUCGUGCUCCUAAAGGACCUAAAGAGAUAUUUAACUACCAUCAUUCAUCAUUGAGAAAUGUCAUUGAACAAACUUUUGGAGUAUGGAAGGCUAGAUGGGAGAUAUUACAACAUAUGCAUGUCAAUUACACCUACGAGACACAAGUGAAGAUCAUGCUAGCAUCUAUGGCAAUUCAUAAUUAUAUUAGAAAAAAGAUACAUGUGAUGAAGGAUUUACCAGGGCGCAACAAGAAUCUUACACUCCAAAUAAUGGUCGAGGAUCAAAUGACAUUAAUGAAGUAAAUGAAGACACAAGUACACAACGUAGAAUAGAUGAUUUAUACAUGAGUGCAGUUAGAGAUAUGAUUGCAGGAGAUUUAACCAAACCAAGAUGAAUGUUUAUUGAAUAUUAAUGUAUUUUUGUUGAAGUUUUACUUUAUCCUCGAUAUAAAUUUAUCCAAAAAUGAUGGUAUAACUCAUAAAAACAAAGUAGAUACAUAUAAAAUAUAAGUUAUGUGAUAAUAUGUAACCAUGUCCUUUUUGGUCAUUUUACUAAUAUAAGCUAAAUAAAAAAGCUAACACAAGCACUUAAAAAGAGCUUAUCAACUUGUAGAAUAUAAGCUAAUCUAAACACUUAAAAAUUGCUUAUCAAAUGAAAGAAAAUAAGCAUAAGCAACUUUAAAAUAUAAGCAUAAGCCAAAACAAUAAAAUCUAAGCCAAACACCCCCUUAAUUCAUCUCUAUCAAAAAUCCAGCAGACCAGGUUCUUGAGGCCAUUGCUCCUCUUGUCCUUAACCCAUCUUGAUAUGCUGGUUUCUCCAUUCUACCCUCCCUCAGCCAAUUUUCCGUCUUUCUCCAUUGCUCCUCUUGAAUCCUGAUGUUGAAUCCCCCAUACAAGGAAGAGAUUCCGAUCAAUACUGAUUAUAUUUUCCCUCCUCAACAACUGAACAUCGACUCCUCUGCAGGGGCAGACCUAUAUGGUGCAGGUCGGGGUCCACGGACCCCAAUGUUUUAAAAAAAAUAGUAGAACCGUUAUGUUAAAUUUUUAAAGGACCCCAUAAAAUAAAUUAGUUGGACCCCAUAGUAUUAAAAGAAAAGAUGGUAUGGUGGUAAAUCUCCUUGUGUUCCAACAAAUGGGUCUCAAGUUCAAGUCUUACACCUCUUGUUUUUUAGUUUAUUUUUUCCAUCAAAAUUAAACUAGUGUUUUAAAACAUCACAACCACCCAUGGACCCUCUAAUUUGCUUCUUUAAAGUGAUAAAUUUAAUGUCUCCGAAUGAUUUUAUUUCACAUUUGAUUACCAAAUAAGACUUCCAACAUAUAGUGACGUUAAAAAAAAGCUUAAACAAAAUUUGAAGUUACGUGAAGUAGUUGUGUUGUUUAGGUAGCUAUUGGUUUCAAACAACUUAUUAAUCACCACAAUUUGAUAACUGGAUUCUUAAAAAUGGUUCUUAAUAAUGUAGUGGUUUCAUGUCCACUAAAUGCUUCUAUAUUAUUUCCUGCCCCGACACGACCCGAUUACAAUGGCCGACCCGGAAAUUUUAAUGUUUGGUUGUGAAAAAUUCUAACACAAAAAAUGGACCUCAAUAGAAAAAAAUCCUGGGUCCGCCACUGCUCCUCUGGAACCCUAUUUGCCAUUCGCUCACUGGGAUUUUCGUCAUCAAAUACACAAUUAGGUAAGCAAUUGAUUCAUAAUCUAACUAAGGUAAAUUUCAUUUUCGUUUAUUGUUUAUAUAAAUAUGGCUUUGUAAUUUUUUACUAUACCUGGAUUAUGAUAUUUAAUUUCCCCUGAAUCUUUUGACUUUUGUGGAAAUUCAAUUGACUGACGAAGUCAAUCUGGUGUUUUUUUUUUUUUAUUUUCCUUAUAGCGUUCAGAUAGUGAGAGAAAGUAAAGGAAAAUAAAUUUUUCGAUGGCAGUGAAGGAAUUAAGGAAAUGAAGGUUCAUGAAGAAAAUGAACAUUCAUAAAAUAAUUAUUUUAUUGAUGAUUUUAAUAAGCUUAAACAUGGACUACUUAUACACAGACUGACUUCCCACGAGUACAGGUAGUGCUAACAAAUGCUUACAUAACCUCAGAUAGUAUACAAGAUAUUUUGUUUUCGCCGGAAAACUUACACCAGAGAGAGGGAGGAGUGAGGGUGGAAGAGUUGAGGGAGGGGGUGAGGAGUGGUGGUUACGGUGUUUGAGGGAGUGGAUAGAGAUGAAUUGAGGGGUUGGUGAGGGAUAUGGGAAAUAGAAAGGGUUGAAAGGGAAAAGGACCAUUGUAUCCUCAUGUGCAUUGCACAUGACAAGAAUUAACUGAGAUUUCUAACCAGGUUUGGACUAAAGGACAAAACGUGCAAGAUUUUGGAAGGUUAAGGACACCGCCUGUAAACUUUUGGCCAAAA